Molecule: RNA transcript, 3185 nt
Organism: Loxodonta africana (African savanna elephant)
Lineage: Eukaryota; Metazoa; Chordata; Mammalia; Proboscidea; Elephantidae
Gene: RBM3
Gene name: RNA binding motif protein 3
Exons: 7
Source: RefSeq, a predicted model, not a curated record
AGCGCGCGCGGGGGACGUUCCCUGACGUGUCCGUAACGUACGCUUUAUCAAGCGUCUUCCCGCGCGGUAGCUUCCCCUUUUCUGUACUCCUCGGCGUUAGCUGUUUCGGCUGUUCUGUUUUUUAUUUUCCAGGACCCAAAUUCACUGCCAUGUCCUCUGAAGAAGGGAAGCUCUUCGUGGGAGGGCUCAAUUUCAACACCGAUGAGCAGGCGUUGGAAGACCACUUCAGCAGUUUCGGUCCUAUCUCUGAGGUGGUUGUCGUCAAGGACCGGGAGACUCAGCGAUCCCGGGGUUUUGGCUUUAUCACCUUUACCAAUCCAGAGCAUGCCUCAGAUGCCAUGCGAGCCAUGAAUGGAGAGUCCCUGGAUGGCCGUCAGAUCCGGGUGGAUCACGCAGGCAAGUCAGCCCGGGGAACCAGAGGAGGUGCCUUUGGUGCCCAUGGGCGUGGCCGCAGCUACUCCAGAGGUGGUGGGGACCAGGGCUAUGGGAGCAGCAGAUAUGACAGUCGACCUGGAGGAUAUGGAUAUGGAAGGUCCAGAGACUAUAGUGGCAGGCUGCUCAGCAUUUCCACUGCCCUCACAUAUCUCACCCAGCCAGCCCACCUAACCGCAUUCCUAGGCCUCCAGCCUCCCUUGCUCUCUGAAGUGCAUGUCAGUCUGGCGGGGAUGGGGGCGGGUCUGAAAAUGAUGUAGUCUUCCUGGGCAUGGAGGAGGUGAAGGGAGGUCCCUGCUAUCCAGCCUUCAGCAUCCUUAUCAACCCUGGGAGAAAAUACCGACUUCUGAAUGUCAGCUCCAUGAUUGCAGGGACCAUUUCGUCUGAGUUAUUGCUGGUUCCUGGCACAUAAAAAUCAAAAUAACCAAACCUGUUGCUGUCUAAUCAAUUCUGACUCAGCAGCCCUAUAGGACAGAGUAGAACUGCUCUGUAGGGUUUCCAAAGAGCACCUGGUGGAUUCAAACUGCCAACCUUUUGGUUAGCAGCUGAACUCCUAACCACUAUGCCACCAGGGUUUUCUGGCACAUAGUAGACCAUAAAAAAAACAAACCUAAAGGCUAAAUAUUUGUUGGGAGGCUGGCUGGCCAUUUCAGCUUGCUGGGGACUGCUGAAGGGGUCUGUUGAGGCAGGUAUCAUUUCUGUCUGUGUUAGAAAUGAAAAAAGGGACACAGCUAGUGUAGCCCAGUGCUCUCCGUUACAUUUCUAAACUCAAGGCCAAACAGGCAGGGGUGCGUGAAGGGGCCAGAAAAAACAUGGUCCUUCCAGUUUCCCCACCAUUUGAGUCAUUCUUAAAAUGAGGUGUUACCUUCAAACAGCUCUGGCUUACCUGUCUUUUCUGUCCUAAACUUUUUGUUCAUUUAACUGGACCUUCAGCCCUCACUUUGACGGUAAAAUAACCCUGGAUCAUGUUGGAAUUAAUGGGACUUGUGGUCCUCCAUGGGUUUGAGUUUUUUUCUAGAUGUCAUGAUUGUAACCAAGGUUACUCACAACCUCCAGGAGCUGCUUCCCCCAGGCUUGAGACACUCCACUCCCCUCACCCAUUUACCUAUUGAUGCAGGUAAACUCUGUCCACACUCCCAAGAAACUGAAAGUGCCUUCAUCAGCUUGUUCAAAACCCAUUUCAAUCCAAUGAAACCGUGUCAAUGUGGGGAAAAAAAUGCAAGAGGUGACAAUGGCCAUUCUAGUUCACACAGAAUGUGACUACCUCUGGCAGGUGGAUCUGUUAUUGGGGAAAGUUUUUAAGACAAUAAUGGUUAAUACCUGGUGGAUAUUUUCUGUGUUCCAGAUGCUUAACCUUAAGCUUUACAAGUAUUUAGUCCGUAACUGUUAUGUGCCAGCUUUCUUCAGAUGAAGAGACUGAAUCACAGAGGUAUUACAUGACUUGCCCAAGACCACAUAGUUGGCAGAGCCUAUGCCAGUGGCCAAGUUAUGCUGCCUUUUGAAACAUAAUUGUACUGCCUCAGAAAAAAAUAGCAAACUGUUCGUUGAGGCUUUUUUACGUGGCAGGUAGGAAACAAUUCAUGCAACAGCCCUGUCAUUAGGUGGUUCUGUCUAGUAUCUCAUAGCCUUAUAGGAAUGAGGUUUUAAAAAUAACGUUUUGAAAUUUUAAUAUAUGAAUAUUUUAAUUUAAAAAGCCAGCAGUGAUACAGUAAAUCUUCCUGGCAUCCCUAACUCAUGAUUUCCUCCGACCACGUUUCUUUGGAAGAAUGGUGGGAUGAAGGGGCAAGAAUAUUGGAGGUGAAUGGGAAAGGCAUCACAACAUCCUUUAUGAUGACAGAAGAACCUGGAAAUAAACCCAGUGCUUGCCACAAAUAAGGUAUUGGUUCAAUAAAAUGUGGCCAUUGAACUCCCUGGGCUUCAGCUGUCCUCAUCAAUAAAAUGGAGAUGAUAAUAUAACCCACAACAUUCAGUUAUUAGGGUUGAAUGAAUUAGUAUGUAAAUCAACUUGGACAGUCCCAGCACACUGUACAUACUGAGUAAAUGUUAGUGGUUCUUGUUAAGGUUAGAGAUUUUUGCAGUGAAAUACAAUUUAUUCUUUAGCGAUUAUGUUACAGAAAGAUAAUAUGAAAAGACCUCAAAAGCUUAGUUACAUGAACAGGGGAGGUACUAAAUCAACACAAAAACUGGUCUGUUUUUAUGACACAGAGGGUAAUACAUUUUUGGAUGUGUCCCUAGUUUUAAGUGGCUUUAAAACAUUUGGAAACCCUGGUGGUGUAGUGGUUAAGUGCUACAGCUGCUAACCAAGAGGUCAGCAGUUCAAAUCCACCAGGCGCUCCUUGGAAACUCUAUGGGGCAGUUCUACUCUGUCCUGUAGGGUCUCUAUGAGUCGGAAUUGACUUGACAGCAGUGGGUUUGAUUUGGUUUUAAAACAUUCAGGUGAUUGUAUCAUUUAAAAAUGUGAAGAAUAACUUUUCAAAAUUGUGGCAGUUGUUAAGAUCCAAUAGGCAGUUACUAAACCUUGUAUUUAAAACUUGUAAAUUCUGUUUAUCCUGAUUGAGAUGAACAAUUUCAGAUGCAUUUUCCUGUUGGAGUUGAAAUAAAAAUGAUUAUGAUAGCCUCCACGUGGAUCCAAAUCUAAAAGUUUGUUUUGUCUAAUUGUCUUCUUGCCUUUGGAGACUCAAGCCCCAACCAACCCUCCUGGGAGCAUCCAAGUCCCCCAACCCCAGUCACACACAGAAUGGACUCAUCCCACU